Molecule: long non-coding RNA, 715 nt
Organism: Corvus hawaiiensis (hawaiian crow)
Lineage: Eukaryota; Metazoa; Chordata; Aves; Passeriformes; Corvidae
Exons: 3
Source: RefSeq, a predicted model, not a curated record
CACACUACAAACCCUCACACGGCUUCAGAGCUGCUGGAAGAGGAGAAUCUGAUCCACUGACUUGUUCCCAAAAUGGCACCUGGUGGGAGGAAACCGCCCAGACCACUGUGACCAUGGUUUGCCCUGAUACUGGUUUGACUGGAGCAGGAUGUACGUGCGCACCUCUUGCAGUGAAUCCACAUGCCCAGGAUCAGUUCCCACCUGGCUCAAGAGCAGAAUGCUUAAUCUGAGAAAGCUCCAUGCCUGAGGAAGACUGUGUGACCUCUCUUUCUGCCAUGAAGGAUCCCAUGUUUGGGCAAAACAUCUACUCUGAAUGGCUGCCUGCAUGUCAGAGUCCUUUCCCCACCCUGUUUCUUGAACAUUUUGACAGGCUAUUAUUUUUUAUCUCAUCCCAUUGGAUUUUAUGGUGGGAAGGGGGGGAGAGGUGAUUGUAUGAUUUCGUUUGAGAUUUCAGAGCAGUUUUAAUACUGAUGAAUUUGACGGGAAAACUGUAUGACAGCAAAAAUAACAUAGCAUUUCCCCCCAUGUUUUAUAUGAAUUAACGUAAUACACAGUUCUAAACCUGUUAAUCCAUGUCUGACUGCCAUUACCAGCUCUGAGCAAGUACGUUGCUGUGGGAUUCCAAAGUGCCUGAUGUUUACAAGAAACCUAUAUAUGGCUUUUGCACUGUAAUUUUUCACGAGAAGAAAAAUACAUUUUUUUCUCUGCUGAUAAA